Molecule: ribosomal RNA, 330 nt
Filed under: Triticum aestivum (bread wheat)
Lineage: Eukaryota; Viridiplantae; Streptophyta; Magnoliopsida; Poales; Poaceae
Description: partial small subunit ribosomal RNA
Source: RNAcentral
AUGGACGUUGGAGCCGUCCCAGUCUCCGCCAUACUGCAUGAUGGCGAGAAGCUGGCGAGAAAGGGUGCGGCGGCGGAGAAAGAACGGCCCCGCGGCGGCGAAGCUGUGGGGUGGUGCGAAGAUUGGUGGGACGGCGCGGCGGCAAGAUGCUGCUGCGAUGGAAAGGAGGAGGAAGAAGAUGGCGGAGAGAGGAUGAGCGUGCGAGCGUCUGCCGCUUCCCCUCCUCCCCCUACUUAUAGCCUCGUGUGGCGAAGCCUAGGAGGCGAGGCGUGGGGGGACGUGGGAUUAACUGCGCCCACUCCCCCACGUCCCGCGAUUAUUGCGCCCUAA